Molecule: ribosomal RNA, 480 nt
Filed under: uncultured bacterium
Lineage: Bacteria
Description: bacterial SSU rRNA
Rfam family: Bacterial small subunit ribosomal RNA
Source: RNAcentral
GACGAACGCUGGCGGCGUGCUUAACACAUGCAAGUCGAACGGUGACGAGGAGCUUGCUCCUCUGAUCAGUGGCGAACGGGUGAGUAACACGUGAGCAACCUGCCCCAGACUCUGGGAUAACAGUUGGAAACAGCUGCUAAUACCGGAUACGAGACGGAGAGGCAUCUCUACCGUCUGGAAAGUUUUUCGGUCUGGGAUGGACUCGCGGCCUAUCAGCUAGUUGGUGAGGUAAUGGCUCACCAAGGCGACGACGGGUAGCCGGCCUGAGAGGGCGACCGGCCACACUGGGACUGAGACACGGCCCAGACUCCUACGGGAGGCAGCAGUGGGGAAUAUUGCACAAUGGGCGAAAGCCUGAUGCAGCGACGCCGCGUGAGGGAUGAAGGCCUUCGGGUGUAAACCGUCUUUCAGCAGGGAAGAAGCGAAAGUGACGGUACCGUGCAGAAGAAGACACCGGCUAACUACGUAGCCAGCAGCCGC